This is a non-coding RNA of Zopfochytrium polystomum, 74 nucleotides long. The record is from the annotation of a GenBank genome assembly. Lineage: Eukaryota; Fungi; Chytridiomycota; Chytridiomycetes; Chytridiales; Chytridiaceae.
GGGGGUAUAUAUCAGUGGUAGAUAGCUCGCUUCGCAUGCGAGAUGCCCAGGGUUCGAUCCCCUCUGUGCCUCCA